RNAcentral lists this ribosomal RNA (460 nucleotides) under uncultured bacterium. Its description in RNAcentral is "partial 16S ribosomal RNA". It matches the Rfam family "Bacterial small subunit ribosomal RNA", at positions 338 to 795 of the family's 1533-position model. The record is from RNAcentral.
CCUACGGGCGGCAGCAGUGAGGAAUAUUGGUCCAUGGACGAGAGUCUGAACCAGCCAAGUAGCGUGAAGGAUGACUGCCCUAUGGGUUGUAAACUUCUUUUAUAUGGGAAUAAAACGUUCCACGUGUGGGAUUUUGUAUGUACCAUAUGAAUAAGGAUCGGCUAACUCCGUGCCAGCAGCCGCGGUAAUACGGAGGAUCCGAGCGUUAUCCGGAUUUAUUGGGUUUAAAGGGAGCGUAGGUGGAUUGUUAAGUCAGUUGUGAAAGUUUGCGGCUCAACCGUAAAAUUGCAGUUGAAACUGGCAGUCUUGAGUACAGUAGAGGUGGGCGGAAUUCGUGGUGUAGCGGUGAAAUGCUUAGAUAUCACGAAGAACUCCGAUUGCGAAGGCAGUUCACUGGACUGCAACUGACACUGAGGCUCGAAAGUGUGGGUAUCAAACAGGAAUAGAUACCCCAGUAGUC